Molecule: transfer RNA, 74 nt
Filed under: Marmota monax (woodchuck)
Lineage: Eukaryota; Metazoa; Chordata; Mammalia; Rodentia; Sciuridae
Description: tRNA.Ala
Source: RNAcentral
GGCUAUAGCUCAGUUGGUAGAGUGCUUGCCCUGCAUGCACAAGGCCCUGGGUUUAAUCCCCAGCACAAAAGUUA